UAGAUACUCCCUCCGUCCGGAAUUACUUGUCGCAGAAAUGGAUGUAUCUAGAUUAUUUUAGUUCUAGAAUACAUCCAUUUUUGUCCAUUUAUGUGACAAGUAAUUCGGGACGGAGGGAGUACUAU
This is a non-coding RNA of Triticum aestivum (bread wheat), 125 nucleotides long. The record is from Rfam. Lineage: Eukaryota; Viridiplantae; Streptophyta; Magnoliopsida; Poales; Poaceae.